AGUGUUCAAUUUUGAACUGUGGUAGGUGAGUAAUGUUCCCUACUAGAAAGGAGAGGGCAAGGCUGGUGCCAGCCGCCGCGGUAAAACCAGCUCUUCAAGUGGUCGGGAUAAUUAUUGGGCUUAAAGUGUCCGUAGCCGGUUUAGUAAGUUCCUGGUAAAAUCGGGUAGCUUAACUAUCUAUAUGCUAGGAAUACUACUAUACUAGAGGGCGGGAGAGGUCUGAGGUACUGCAGGGGUAGGGGUGAAAUCUUAUAAUCCUUGUUGGACCACCAGUGGCGAAGGCGUCAGACUGGAACGCGCCUGACGGUGAGGGACGAAAGCCAGGGGAGCGAACCGGAUUAGAUACCCGGGUAGUCCUGGCCGUAAACGAUGCAUACUAGGUGAUGGCACGGCCAUGAGCCGUGUCAGUGCCGUAGGGAAACCGUUAAGU
RNAcentral lists this ribosomal RNA (430 nucleotides) under uncultured deep-sea archaeon. Its description in RNAcentral is "bacterial SSU rRNA". It matches the Rfam family "Archaeal small subunit ribosomal RNA", at positions 384 to 820 of the family's 1478-position model. The record is from RNAcentral.